RNAcentral lists this non-coding RNA (23 nucleotides) under Arabidopsis thaliana (thale cress). Lineage: Eukaryota; Viridiplantae; Streptophyta; Magnoliopsida; Brassicales; Brassicaceae. The record is from RNAcentral.
GACGUUGCCACCUCUACACAAUA